CUUCGCCCCUGGACCCUUUUCCACCUCUGUGAGCUCUUUCUUCAAGUCGCCAAACUAAUCCGGAGAUUUGAACCGAUCCGAGAAUCACUCGCUACGCAAAAACUCGCGUUCGCUCCGCUGUUAAAGAAAAUAGCAUGUGAACCCCGAGAAAAAACGGACGUUUGCGCCUUAUUAUACAUUGAGUAGCUCUG
Diprion similis is the source of this 191-nucleotide long non-coding RNA. RefSeq lists it as uncharacterized. The transcript has 3 exons. The record is from RefSeq and is a predicted model, not a curated record. NCBI's taxonomy places the organism in Eukaryota, Metazoa, Arthropoda, Insecta, Hymenoptera, Diprionidae.